This 265-nucleotide ribosomal RNA is filed under the name uncultured archaeon. RNAcentral describes it as "partial 16S ribosomal RNA". It matches the Rfam family "Archaeal small subunit ribosomal RNA", at positions 717 to 982 of the family's 1478-position model. The record is from RNAcentral.
ACACGACUACAUUAGAUACCCGGGUAGUCCUAGCCGUAAACGAUACUCGCUAGGUGUCGGCCACGGUGCGACCGUUGUCGGUGCCGUAGGGAAGCCGUGAAACGUGCCGCCUGGGAAGUACGGUCGCAAGGCUGAAACUUAAGGAAUUGGCGGGGGAGCACCACAACGGGUGGAGCCUGCGGUUUAAUUGGACUCAACGCCGGGAAGCGUCACCGGGUAAGACAGCGGAAUGAUUGCCGGGCUGAAGACCCUGCAUGACCAGCUG